RNAcentral lists this long non-coding RNA (236 nucleotides) under Elaeis guineensis (African oil palm). Its description in RNAcentral is "long non-coding RNA (EGUI_LNC046801)". The record is from RNAcentral. Lineage: Eukaryota; Viridiplantae; Streptophyta; Magnoliopsida; Arecales; Arecaceae.
CCGAUAAAGCCCACUGUAGUCGAUACAGCCCACUGUAGUCUUCAUGGCCCACUAUACCUAGUAUCGGCUCACUGUAGCUGUCAUGGUCCACUGUAGCUAUCUUGGCCUACUAUAGCUAACCUCGAUCCAUUAUAGUCGAUACAGUCCACUAUAGUCGAUACGGCCCAUUGUAGUUGUCAUAACCCCCUAUAGCCAGCCUUGACCCAUUAUAGCUAGCCUUGACCCACUAUAGCCAC